GGAGAGAUGGCCGAGUAGGUCGAAGGCGCUCGCCUGCUAAGCGAGUAAGGGAGAAUAAACUCCCUUCGAGGGUUCGAAUCCCUCUCUCUCCGCCA
RNAcentral lists this transfer RNA (95 nucleotides) under Bacillota bacterium. Its description in RNAcentral is "tRNA-Ser". It matches the Rfam family "tRNA". Rfam says of the family: Transfer RNA (tRNA) molecules are approximately 80 nucleotides in length. The record is from RNAcentral. Lineage: Bacteria; Bacillati; Bacillota.